UCUUUAAGGAGGGUAGAUUGUAAUACCCGAAAAAUUCAAAUUAACGUCCGAUGUCAUUUUGGAAAUGAUUUCGUAGGCGUGGGCACGAAUACGAAGCUUGAAGGAGUUGUGGAAUUAGUUCGAACGAUUUUAUUUCGAAAACGAACGUUAUUUAGGGGGUCUUAAAAAGUGACUUCUUAUACGUACAGAAUUUGGGAAAACUUUCUUCAUGAAAGUUGUAGAGCUCGUCGAUACGAUCUCGUGCGUAUGUUGAACGCAAUAUUCGGAGUUUGUAUGAAUAAGUUAUGAAUAUUUGAAAAUCGGGAUUUUUUUUCUAUAAAUAUGGAGAAUUUCUGGAAUUUUUCUUAAAUCCCAAAAUUUCCUAUUCUUUCUAUUUUCUCCCCCGGUUUUCUCUCUUCUCUCUCCUCUCCCCCGACCUUUUUCUCUUCUUUCUGGGCGUUCUUCCUCUGCCAGCAGCGCCACCGUCCGGCCACCUCAAGCCGCUCUCGAGGUGUCCACGGCUUCGCCUCGACGUCGUCUAGCUACUGGACGUGACCACUUUCCCCGGAACGGCCUCAAAUCCGGCAAACCGGAGCUGCAAGGUUUGAGCCAAAAACAGUCAACGCCGGUUUUCUCCUAAUUCCGGCCACCAAAACUCACGAUCCUUAGCUCCCUGAACUCACCUCAACAUGCUGAUCAUCAUCCUAGAAGGAUCGCACCUGGAGUGACCGGAUUCACGUUCGUCGGAGCUCGGCCGGCUUUAAUUCGAAAACCACCUUCGAAUCCGAUUUUCUCGAGUUAUAGACCACCUUUUCUUGUGAUUCUUGGCCUGGUGAGUUCACCUUGAGAUUAUUAACAACUCUCAAGAAGGGAUCGAGGCCUGAGGUUGAAGUUUUUACGUCGGAAUUCAAGCUCGCCGGAUUCUGGAAAAUUUCCGACCACGAAGACUUUCGAUCAAGAUAUCGCGAGCUGUAGUGCAUCGUUUUGAUUGAUUCUUUUUCCAGUGGGUUCCCCUUGAUGUUGUUAACAACUCUCUAGAAGGCAUCGAGGCCUGAAAUUGAAUCUUUGACGUCGAAAUCGAGCCUUGCCGGAUUCUGCAAAAUUCUGGAAUUUUUCCGACCACCGAAGCUUUCGAUCGGUAUAUCUCGAGCUACAGACCAUAUUUUUCUGUGAUUCUUGAACCAGUGAGUUCUUCUUGAGUUUCUUAACAACUCUUCAGAAGGAAUCGAAGCCUUAAAUUGACGUUUUUACGUCGAAUUGGAGCUCGCCGUUUUCUGCAGUUUCUCGCCGGUUUCUGGAAAAUUCCGGCCACCUUCAUACUGUUCAAGGUGAUUGACGGUUUGAGUUGGCGGACGAUUGUGAAUCGUAUUUUGAGCUGUUAAGAAGACGCAGCGGGAUUAGAGCGGGUAAUCCUACAGGUCAGGAGAACCAGGACGGUGAUCGGGCUGCUUAGAGUAGUGUUAUGUGAAUUACAGCAUUAUAUUGUGAGGUUUGUUAUGCUCAUUUAGAGCUUUACGAUUUUACUUUGUAAGAGUGAAUUGUAAUAAUUAACUCGAGGUUUUUCGAGUUUUGUGUUGA
Rosa rugosa (rugosa rose) is the source of this 1557-nucleotide long non-coding RNA. RefSeq lists it as uncharacterized. Lineage: Eukaryota; Viridiplantae; Streptophyta; Magnoliopsida; Rosales; Rosaceae. The record is from RefSeq and is a predicted model, not a curated record. The transcript is spliced from 3 exons.